RNAcentral lists this ribosomal RNA (277 nucleotides) under uncultured bacterium. RNAcentral's name for it is "partial 16S ribosomal RNA". It matches the Rfam family "Bacterial small subunit ribosomal RNA", at positions 30 to 295 of the family's 1533-position model. The record is from RNAcentral.
AUUGAACGCUGGCGGCAUGCUUUACACAUGCAAGUCGAGCGGCAGCGCGGGGCUCGGGCAACUGAGUUCUGGCGGCGAGCGGCGAACGGGUGAGUAACACAUCGGAACGUACCCAGGAGUGGGGGAUAGCUCGGCGAAAGCCGGAUUAAUACCGCAUACGAUCUACGGAUGAAAGCGGGGGACCUUUUGGGGCCUUGCGCUCGUGGAGCGGCCGAUGUCCGAUUAGCUAGUUGGUGGGGUAAAGGCCUACCAAGGCGACGAUCGGUAGCUGGUCUGA